GUCUACGGCCAUACCACCCUGAACGCGCCUGAUCUCGGAAGCUAAGCAGGGUCGGGCCUGGUUAGUACUUGGAUGGGAGACUACUCAUCAAUGUGUGAUGAUCCUAAGCA
This 110-nucleotide ribosomal RNA is filed under the name Neogale vison (American mink). The record is from RNAcentral. Lineage: Eukaryota; Metazoa; Chordata; Mammalia; Carnivora; Mustelidae.